Molecule: ribosomal RNA, 253 nt
Filed under: uncultured bacterium
Lineage: Bacteria
Description: partial 16S ribosomal RNA
Rfam family: Bacterial small subunit ribosomal RNA
Source: RNAcentral
UACGUAGGUGGCAAGCGUUGUCCGGAUUUAUUGGGUUUAAAGGGUGCGUAGGCGGCCUUGUAAGUCAGUGCUGAAAUAUCCCGGCUUAACCGGGAGGGUGGCAUUGAUACUGCAGGGCUUGAGUAAAGUUGAGGUUGGCGGAAUUGACGGUGUAGCGGUGAAAUGCGCAGAUAUCAGGAGGAACACCAACGGCGAAGGCAGCUCGCUGGGACGGUACUGACACUGAGGCGCGAAAGCGUGGGGAGCGAACAGG